Molecule: small nuclear RNA, 143 nt
Filed under: Pogona vitticeps (central bearded dragon)
Lineage: Eukaryota; Metazoa; Chordata; Lepidosauria; Squamata; Agamidae
Description: U2 spliceosomal RNA (ENSPVIG00000015691.1)
Rfam family: U2 spliceosomal RNA
About the family: U2 is a small nuclear RNA (snRNA) component of the spliceosome (involved in pre-mRNA splicing).
Source: RNAcentral
AUUGCUUCUCGGCCUUUUGGCUAAGAUCAUGUGUAGUAUCUGUUUUUAUCAGUUCUUAAUCCUUUGGGAAGCCGAGAGAUCUUUCUCAAGUAUGUGUUUCUCAUACUCUUGAAGACUUGGAUCAGGAUUUUAAGUCACACAUG